UGAGUUAGUGGCGGACGGGUGAGUAACGCGUGGAAAACCUGCCGUAUACUGGGGGAUAACACUUAGAAAUAGGUGCUAAUACCGCAUAAGCGCACGGGGCUGCAUGGCCCAGUGUGAAAAACUCCGGUGGUAUAAGAUGGACCCGCGUCUGAUUAGCUUGUUGGCGGGGUAACGGCCCACCAAGGCGACGAUCAGUAGCCGGCCUGAGAGGGUGGACGGCCACAUUGGGACUGAGACACGGCCCAAACUCCUACGGAAGGCAGCAG
This 266-nucleotide ribosomal RNA is filed under the name uncultured bacterium. RNAcentral's name for it is "partial 16S ribosomal RNA". It matches the Rfam family "Bacterial small subunit ribosomal RNA", at positions 88 to 354 of the family's 1533-position model. The record is from RNAcentral.